This 394-nucleotide ribosomal RNA is filed under the name uncultured bacterium. RNAcentral describes it as "partial 16S ribosomal RNA". It matches the Rfam family "Bacterial small subunit ribosomal RNA", at positions 523 to 918 of the family's 1533-position model. The record is from RNAcentral.
AUACGGAGGAUGCAAGCGUUAUCCGGAUUUAUUGGGUUUAAAGGGUGCGUAGGCGGAUGAUUAAGCGUGAGGUGAAAUGCCACUGCUCAACAGUGGAACUGCCUCGCGAACUGGUUGUCUUGAAUGCUCCUGCCGUGGGAGGACUGUGUGGUGUAGCGGUGAAAUGCAUAGAGAUCACACAGAACACCGAUUGCGAAGGCAUCUCACGAAGGGGUGAUUGACGCUGAGGCACGAAAGCGUGGGGAUCAAACAGGAUUAGAUACCCUGGUAGUCCACGCAGUAAACGAUGAUAACUAACCGCUGGGUCGUAGUGAUUCAGUGGCCAAGCGAAAGCGAUAAGUUAUCCACCUGGGGAGUACGACCGCAAGGUUGAAACUCAAAGGAAUUGACGGGG